Long non-coding RNA from Daphnia pulicaria, 464 nucleotides. RefSeq lists it as uncharacterized. The transcript has 3 exons. The record is from RefSeq and is a predicted model, not a curated record. NCBI's taxonomy places the organism in Eukaryota, Metazoa, Arthropoda, Branchiopoda, Diplostraca, Daphniidae.
GCCAGUAGCGCCGGAUUGCGGAGGCGAUAACAACCAUCGAGAACUCUUUAUCGUCUCUGGCUCUCGACCAUUGUGGAAACUGGAAUGUGUCACCAGUUUAUUUUCCCCCUAACAUCAUGGAAGAUGGAUUAUUUGAAAACGUCCAUUAGAAAAAAACUAAGAAACCGCUGGCAAAUACCGAUCCGGCGAACAGUGCUCCAGUGCUCCUCUUUCCCGUUGCCAGGCAACAAUUUCUUCCACGCUGCUCGUCUACUGAAAAGGAGAAUGCGUUGAAUAGUAAAUUGAUGUGCGGAUGAAGACGAUUUCGUGCUAGUCUGGGAUGCAAUAGAUUUAUCUAACCGAAGCCUUUCAAAAUGGCGACGACGUUUCAAAUUGUGAUUGACGUGUCGCCUGUCGCGUUGUCAACAUAUUUUAGGAUUUUUCGUUUUUUCCACGAGAUGGAGUGGAUUUGGGAGAUCUGUAUU